This 216-nucleotide long non-coding RNA is filed under the name Lathyrus oleraceus (garden pea). RNAcentral describes it as "Pisum sativum (pea) long non-coding RNA (PSAT_LNC023737)". The record is from RNAcentral. Lineage: Eukaryota; Viridiplantae; Streptophyta; Magnoliopsida; Fabales; Fabaceae.
AAGAAAUCAAAUAAAGCAUCAGUUCAACAGUAGAAGUAAACAUACACACAUUACUAGCAAAAAUAGAAACUAGUAAACACACAUGCGCUUGUGCUCAGAACACAACACACCACCCCUUCAGUUAGUCCACACCAAGCACCAAUCUACUUCACACAGAUAGAACACUUCCCCCUCUUCUCCAUCCAACAUCAUCUCCAACAUCAUCUAUAGCUAUAG